Gallus gallus (chicken) is the source of this 2222-nucleotide long non-coding RNA. The record is from Ensembl. NCBI's taxonomy places the organism in Eukaryota, Metazoa, Chordata, Aves, Galliformes, Phasianidae.
UCAGUCUGGAAAAGAGGAGGCUCAGGGGAGACCUUAUCGCUUUCUCACAAUGACCUGAAAGGAGGUUGGGGCAUGGUGGGGUCAGCCUCUUCUCCCGGGUAACAGCGAUAGGAUGAGAGGGAAUGGCAUCAAGUUGCUCCAGGGGCGGUUCAGGAUGGAUGUUAGGAAAAAAUUCUUCUCUGAAAGAGUGGUAGAAAAACUGGGGAACAACUCAGAGCUCAUGGGCUGCAAGUCUUGCCUCAUGAGCCUGAUGGCCGUGCACAAUAUCGGAUGAGAGAACACUGCUUUGCAAGCAUCACUGUUUGCAGCUCGGAACUUGAGAGUGCUGUCAUGCUCUUGAAUUACUUCAUGGACAAGACUUCUGUUAACACUUCUUCCCUCAGAGGCAAAAAAAUUAAAACCAGGGUUACUACUUUAAAAGAAUGCAGAACUACAAACCGCAUCCAGACAGUAACAACGCGCAAAUUGAAGUGAUACUGAAAUGCAGGAAUUUGUCAUCAAGCAUCAAUUCAUACAGGAACUUUUGCUUCUAAUCUCUACAGUAAAAGGCAUUAAUAACCAACAUCAUCAGGUUUAAAAGCCUAAAAUAAGCAAUAAAAAGCACUGUCUCAAAUAACAUAACCCAGUUACUCUGGAGAAAAAGUCUAUCAAUCUGCCUUCUUACAUAAAAUUAAUAUCUAUAUGCAUUGUUGCCCUCUAACAGAGAUGACUACAUAGUCCCAAAGGCAUCCCUUCAGUGUGUGAAAAGGGCUUCUUCUGUUACAAAAUACAUUAAUUGCAUUAGCAUAUUCUGCACGUAUUAAAAGACUGGUGAGGGAUCUUGUGCUAAAAAAUUGGCAUUGACAACAAAAACUUUCAGUAGGUGGAAACUUUAUUUCCACUCUCAUCAUAGACUUGGCUACUCCAAAGUCUCAUUUAAUUCUGGUAUGGACUCCAUUAGCUUGGGAGUGACAGCUCUAUCCUUUAAAACAAAUAUGCUAAUAAUAAUAGUAACAAUAAUAAUUCCAUGGAUAUGUGCAAGGAUGCUGAACAUUCUGAACUAGAAAGAAGCAAACAAAAGAGCAUAAUGCUGCUGAAUAGCAGCAGCUUCACAUAUCUCAUACAACCACUAUGAUGUGAAGCUCACUAGCGUGACUAAGAUUUAAGAUGAUCUGCUGACACCCAGAGCAAUGCUUAGCUGUACACUGUAGCACCAGCAAUAUGAAUAAGCUGUCAUGCAAUUGAACCUUCAAAAUGCUUGAAGGGAUUCCCUCCCACCUCAAAUAAGCAGUUCUCCAGACAUUGUAUAGCUAUGAAAUACUUGAAGAUCAAACUCUUGCUGACUGUUGCUAAGUGCAAAGGUACCACAGGGCUCUCCCGGGACUCCUCUUUGCAGUAGGGUUUAAAUAGCUAGUUUUCCUGUCACUGGUGCUCCCAACGCAAUCCUGCUGUAGUCUGUAUCCACAGUACAGGACUGAGGGCUGUUUCAUAAGUACUUAUCAAACUGAUUUGCAUCACAGAAUGGUUUUGUAGCACAUAAACUGAAUCGUUGUAGGAAGGUAAUGCAGUGGGUGCACUGCAGGCACACGUUCAAUGUGCUGUAACCACUUACAUGUAUUCAGUCCAUAAAACCAGAUUUAUUUUGCCUUCAGUCCUAUUCCCUCUGGGGAGGAGGUGUGAAAUAGCCUGGCAUGGGGAAGUCAGGAAACUCCACAGGACCAGACUAGAGCUAAGGCACCAUCAGAUGCAUGUGUUGUCUGCACUAGAUCUUCGUUACUGACUCCUUUGCUGCACCAGCACGUCCUUACUGUCAAAUCCCAUUCACAGGUGUGGACAGGCAGCACCAGGAGUCUUCAGUGGUUAUUUAAAAACAAAUCACAAGGUUGAAGUGAUGCGCCAGCUCCACUCUUCAAUGCCCAAAUAUCUUCAGUUUUCUGGUUCUUGCUCCCUCCAUCCCCACCGUCCCUAUUUUCUCACCUGGACUCCAGGACAGGGUGCUACAGAUUACCAACACUCUGAUGGGAGAGUGUGAUGAAAGGCAUGGAGGUGAUACAUGCUGUCCUUGAGAUGCCCCUUCAUAGUGCUGUACGCAUCUGAAGGAAGGCACUCACCGGCUUCCACUUUAAUCUGGGCUUGCUUUAUUUUAGAAUAAGUGAAUUCAAGCUUGGACCUAAAUCUUUCUUGUUGUCUUACUAAGCUUUGGAGAGCAAAGAUACAUUGUCAUUAAAACACACCUUCAUUAG